GACUCCACAUGUGAUAACAGGUGAUGAGUGACGGUUCACAUCUCAAAGGUGGAGGCCCCCAGCUUCUACUCCUACUCCCAGACCUCUGGCCACCUCUGAACUUCUCAUGGAAGUUCCCUUUCCCCAGGAAAAAAGGAAAAGUAUCUUCUAGUCACACUCUUGGGCUGACCAUUCUGCAAAUGGAACUGUUCUCAGAUGUAAGAAGAAUUUGGCAACCAUUAUCGAGGGAGUCUGGAGGUGAACUGUUUGAUGGCUCAUUUGCAUAGCACUAAAAUUCCUGAUGGUAAUGACAAAUACUGGGUCACCUGGAGGAUGGUAAAUGAGAGCCUGGAAACAGAUAGUAGAACUGAAGGCAGGGGUGGUAGGAACCUCAAGAGGUUUUGGCAUCAAAGCUGGAGACUAAUGAACUGAAAUCAGCCCUGGAGAGCUAGGAGAAUUUGGACGCUGCUUUCUUGUUUACAGUAGAUGAAGGGUAGGAAGCCGUGGGGUGUCAUCUGAAGCCCUGGUAUUGGCCAGGUGGCCAUAAUGAGGGGCCAGGCCUGUCAGAAGUUACUGAGUGCUGCAGUAAGAUUCAUUUCUCUAAAGAGCUGCAGGCAACAAGAGUUCCCACAGAAAAACCUGAGGUCCACAGUGUUGUUUUUGGUACCCAAGAAACCUAAACAUCUCACAGAGGGGAUGAAGGCUCAUAAAGAACAUGCUGAUGCAUUACUGUGAUCAUUAAUUCAUUAAUUCUUUCCUUUAUAUCAAGCCAGAGUUGAGGGGCUACUGUUCUCCCCUACUUCCCCAGGAUCAUGGUCAUCGUCAAUGUUCCAGGCAAAUCACUACCAAUCCAUCACUUUGUACUAACAAAGGAAGCUCCCUUCCCAUUCUUGUGGUAGGCAUCGGGAAUACUAAGUCUCUAUUCUCAAGUGAGAACAGUCUAAGAUAUGAAAUAGUCUUUGAUGGGAGCUCAGAAAAGGAGAACCUCACUAGAUCUGGAAAGAUAGAAAAUGACUCCUCAGAGGUCAUUCUUCUAUGAGGCAAAAGCUCUUGGAGACAGGUAUUUCCUAGGAAGGAAGUCUGCAAAACGCAAAUAAAUCACUUAAGAUAAAGUAAACCUACUUUUCA
This 1107-nucleotide long non-coding RNA is filed under the name Vulpes vulpes (red fox). RNAcentral's name for it is "lncRNA (ENSVVUG00000013762.1)". Lineage: Eukaryota; Metazoa; Chordata; Mammalia; Carnivora; Canidae. The record is from RNAcentral.